ACAUUUGUCAGGCCUUGCCAAAACGGUGACGCAGUGGUGUGUUACCUGCCGACAGCAUAAUGCGAGGCAAGGUCCAGCCGUUCCACCCGGCAUACAAGCUUAUGGAGCAGCCCCCUUUGAAGAUCUCCAGGUGGACUUCACUGAGAUGCCAAAGUGUAGAGAUGAUCGAGUGUGGAUCAAGGACUGGAAAGUAGCCUCUUUGUGCCCACGGUGGAAAGGACCCCAGACUAUCGUCCUGAGCACUCCCACCGCUGUGAAGGUAGAAGGAAUCCCAGCCUGGAUCCAACACAGCCAUAUAAAACCUGCAGGGCCUGAAACCUGGGAGGCAAGACCAAGCCCAGACAACCCUUGCAGAGUGACCCUGAAGAAGACGACAAGCCCUGCUCCAGUCACACCCAGAAGCUGACUGGUCCACGCACGGCCGAAGCCUGAGGAAGCUCAUCAUGAGAUUCAUUUUUCUUAAAUUUUGGACUUAUACAGUAAGGGCUUCAACUGACCUUACUCAAACUGGGGACUGU
RNAcentral lists this long non-coding RNA (518 nucleotides) under Homo sapiens (human). Its description in RNAcentral is "HSALNT0339103". The record is from RNAcentral. Lineage: Eukaryota; Metazoa; Chordata; Mammalia; Primates; Hominidae.